UGGGGAAUAUUGCACAAUGGGCGCAAGCCUGAUGCAGCCAUGCCGCGUGUGUGAAGAAGGCCUUCGGGUUGUAAAGCACUUUCAGCGAGGAGGAAGGUGGUGAACUUAAUACGUUCAUCAAUUGACGUUACUCGCAGAAGAAGCACCGGCUAACUCCGUGCCAGCAGCCGCGGUAAUACGGAGGGUGCAAGCGUUAAUCGGAAUUACUGGGCGUAAAGCGCACGCAGGCGGUUUGUUAAGUCAGAUGUGAAAUCCCCGGGCUCAACCUGGGAACUGCAUUUGAAACUGGCAAGCUAGAGUCUCGUAGAGGGGGGUAGAAUUCCAGGUGUAGCGGUGAAAUGCGUAGAGAUCUGGAGGAAUACCGGUGGCGAAGGCGGCCCCCUGGACGAAGACUGACGCUCAGGUGCGAAAGCGUGGGGCAGCAAACAGGAUUAGAUACCCUGGUAGUCCACGCUGUAAACGAUGUCGAUUUGGAGGUUGUGCCCUUGAGGCGUGGCUUCCGGAGCUAACGCGUUAAAUCGACCGCCUGGGGAGUACGGCCGCAAGGUUAAAACUCAAAGGAAUUGCGGGGUC
This 573-nucleotide ribosomal RNA is filed under the name uncultured bacterium. RNAcentral describes it as "partial 16S ribosomal RNA". It matches the Rfam family "Bacterial small subunit ribosomal RNA", at positions 355 to 920 of the family's 1533-position model. The record is from RNAcentral.